Small nucleolar RNA from Pteronotus mesoamericanus, 105 nucleotides. RefSeq annotates it as small nucleolar RNA U13. The transcript has a single exon. The record is from RefSeq and is a predicted model, not a curated record. Lineage: Eukaryota; Metazoa; Chordata; Mammalia; Chiroptera; Mormoopidae.
AUCCUUUUGUGGUUUGUAAGUGUGAUGAUUGGGUGUUUGUGCUUUUGUGUGACAUGUGCCUCCCACUAAACCUUGUUAGGACACCGGCACAUUACCCGUCUGACG